Molecule: ribosomal RNA, 443 nt
Filed under: uncultured Flavobacteriaceae bacterium
Lineage: Bacteria; Pseudomonadati; Bacteroidota; Flavobacteriia; Flavobacteriales; Flavobacteriaceae
Description: bacterial SSU rRNA
Rfam family: Bacterial small subunit ribosomal RNA
Source: RNAcentral
GCAGGCUUAACACAUGCAAGUCGAGGGGUAACAGGGAUUGCUUGCAAUCCGCUGACGACCGGCGCACGGGUGCGUAACGCGUAUGCAACCUACCUUCUACAGGGGAAUAGUCAAUAGAAAUGUUGAAUAAUACCCCAUACGAUCUUUGAAUAGCAUUAUUUAGAGAAGAAAGUUCCGGCGGUAGAAGAUGGGCAUGCGUCCUAUUAGUUAGUUGGAGAGGUAACGGCUCCCCAAGACAUCGAUAGGUAGGGGUCCUGAGAGGGAGACCCCCCACACUGGUACUGAGACACGGACCAGACUCCUACGGGAGGCAGCAGUGAGGAAUAUUGGACAAUGGAGGCAACUCUGAUCCAGCCAUGCCGCGUGCAGGAAGACUGCCCUAUGGGUUGUAAACUGCUUUUAUACAGGAAGAAAUGUACCUACGUGUAGGUAUUUGACGGUAC